RNAcentral lists this ribosomal RNA (512 nucleotides) under Bacillus subtilis. RNAcentral describes it as "bacterial SSU rRNA". It matches the Rfam family "Bacterial small subunit ribosomal RNA", at positions 344 to 846 of the family's 1533-position model. The record is from RNAcentral. Lineage: Bacteria; Bacillati; Bacillota; Bacilli; Caryophanales; Bacillaceae.
GAGGCCAGCAGUAGGGAAUCUUCCGCAAUGGACGAAAGUCUGACGGAGCAACGCCGCGUGAGUGAUGAAGGUUUUCGGAUCGUAAAGCUCUGUUGUUAGGGAAGAACAAGUACCGUUCGAAUAGGGCGGUACCUUGACGGUACCUAACCAGAAAGCCACGGCUAACUACGUGCCAGCAGCCGCGGUAAUACGUAGGUGGCAAGCGUUGUCCGGAAUUAUUGGGCGUAAAGGGCUCGCAGGCGGUUUCUUAAGUCUGAUGUGAAAGCCCCCGGCUCAACCGGGGAGGGUCAUUGGAAACUGGGGAACUUGAGUGCAGAAGAGGAGAGUGGAAUUCCACGUGUAGCGGUGAAAUGCGUAGAGAUGUGGAGGAACACCAGUGGCGAAGGCGACUCUCUGGUCUGUAACUGACGCUGAGGAGCGAAAGCGUGGGGAGCGAACAGGAUUAGAUACCCUGGUAGUCCACGCCGUAAACGAUGAGUGCUAAGUGUUAGGGGGUUUCCGCCCUUUAGUGC